GAUGAAGAACGUAGCGAAAUGCGAUAAGUAAUGUGAAUUGCAGAAUUCAGUGAAUCAUCGAAUCUUUGAACGCACAUUGCGCCCGCCAGUAUUCUGGCGGGCAUGCCUGUUCGAGCGUCAUUACAACCCUCAGGCCCCCGGGCCUGGCGUUGGGGAUCGGCGGAAGCCCCCUGCGGGCACAACGCCGUCCCCCAAAUACAGUGGCGGUCCCGCCGCAGCUUCCAUUGCGUAGUAGCUAACACCUCGCAACUGGAGAGCGGCGCGGCCACGCCGUAAAACACCCAACUUCUGAAUGUUGACCUCGGAUCAGGUAGGAAUACCCGCUGAACUUAAGCAUAUCAAUAAGCGGAGGA
This 353-nucleotide unclassified non-coding RNA is filed under the name soil metagenome. RNAcentral's name for it is "partial contains 5.8S ribosomal RNA, internal transcribed spacer 2, and large subunit ribosomal RNA". The stretch from base 1 to 120 matches the Rfam family "5.8S ribosomal RNA", at positions 35 to 154 of the family's 154-position model. The record is from RNAcentral.